GCUGGGCGUGGUGGUGCAUGCCUAUAAUCCCAGCUACUUGGGAGGCUGAGGCAGGAGAAUUGCUUGAACCCAGGAGGCAGAGGUCGCAGUGAGCCGGAAUCGUGCCACUGCACUCCAGCCUGGGUGACAGAGUAAGACUCUGUCUCCA
This 148-nucleotide non-coding RNA is filed under the name Homo sapiens (human). Lineage: Eukaryota; Metazoa; Chordata; Mammalia; Primates; Hominidae. The record is from Rfam by way of RNAcentral.